This 314-nucleotide long non-coding RNA is filed under the name Homo sapiens (human). Its description in RNAcentral is "novel transcript". Lineage: Eukaryota; Metazoa; Chordata; Mammalia; Primates; Hominidae. The record is from RNAcentral.
AGUGUUUUCCUGUGAGCUUCUCACACAUGUCUUUUCUUGCUUUAGGGUUAAACUUAUUGUUGUGAGGUAACAACACACUAAUUGUACACAAGUACUCACACUGCCACCUCUGCAUACUCCCCCCACACCAAUAGACACUCACAUUCACACUCAUGUGGGCCACACAUCCACACCCACCCACCCAUGCACACUGGACCACAAACACACUCAACCCACCCUAUACCACACACAUCACACCACACACCACACACCCGAAGCACACACACCCACACACCACACACAUACAUAAAUAGCAAACACACAUACACCAAAAA